Molecule: ribosomal RNA, 504 nt
Filed under: uncultured bacterium
Lineage: Bacteria
Description: partial 16S ribosomal RNA
Rfam family: Bacterial small subunit ribosomal RNA
Source: RNAcentral
AUUGAACGCUGGCGGCAGGCCUAACACAUGCAAGUCGAGCGGUAGCACAGAGAGCUUGCUCUCGGGUGACGAGCGGCGGACGGGUGAGUAAUGUCUGGGAAACUGCCUGAUGGAGGGGGAUAACUACUGGAAACGGUAGCUAAUACCGCAUAAUGUCGCAAGACCAAAGUGGGGGACCUUCGGGCCUCAUGCCAUCAGAUGUGCCCAGAUGGGAUUAGCUAGUAGGUGGGGUAACGGCUCACCUAGGCGACGAUCCCUAGCUGGUCUGAGAGGAUGACCAGCCACACUGGAACUGAGACACGGUCCAGACUCCUACGGGAGGCAGCAGUGGGGAAUAUUGCACAAUGGGCGCAAGCCUGAUGCAGCCAUGCCGCGUGUGUGAAGAAGGCCUUCGGGUUGUAAAGCACUUUCAGCGGGGAGGAAGGCGAUAAGGUUAAUAACCUUGUCGAUUGACGUUACCCGCAGAAGAAGCACCGGCUAACUCCGUGCCAGCCGCCGCCGUAA